GCUGGGCGUGGUGGCUCACGCCUGUAAUCCCAGCACUUUUGAGAGGCUGAGGUGGGUGGAUCACUUGAGGUCAGGAGUUCAAGACCGGCCUGACCAACAUAGUGAAACCCCAUCUCUA
Molecule: non-coding RNA, 118 nt
Filed under: Pan troglodytes (chimpanzee)
Lineage: Eukaryota; Metazoa; Chordata; Mammalia; Primates; Hominidae
Source: Rfam by way of RNAcentral